GACGAACGCUGGCGGCGUGCUUAACACAUGCAAGUCGAACGGAAAGGCCCUGCUUUUGUGGGGUGCUCGAGUGGCGAACGGGUGAGUAACACGUGAGUAACCUGCCCUUGACUUUGGGAUAACUUCAGGAAACUGGGGCUAAUACCGGAUAGGAGCUCCUGCUGCAUGGUGUGGGUUGGAAAGUUUCGGCGGUUGGGGAUGGACUCGCGGCUUAUCAGCUUGUUGGUGGGGUAGUGGCUUACCAAGGCUUUGACGGGUAGCCGGCCUGAGAGGGUGACCGGCCACAUUGGGACUGAGAUACGGCCCAGACUCCUACGGGAGGCAGCAGUGGGGAAUAUUGCACAAUGGGCGGAAGCCUGAUGCAGCAACGCCGCGUGCGGGAUGACGGCCUUCGGGUUGUAAACCGCUUUCGCCUGUGACGAAGCGUGAGUGACGGUAAUGGGUAAAGAAGCGCCGGCUAACUACGUG
Molecule: ribosomal RNA, 468 nt
Filed under: uncultured bacterium
Lineage: Bacteria
Description: partial 16S ribosomal RNA
Rfam family: Bacterial small subunit ribosomal RNA
Source: RNAcentral